GUUUGUUCCUUUACUUGAAUUCAGAUGCAAAAAGGUCGACGUGUGUCUUAAACCUCCUUCAGUUCUUUCUUUCUAGCUGUCUGCUCAUUGAGGAAGCUGGGCCAGUGUCUGGAGGCCGCCUUGCACGCGGGAUGUGAGUGGGGGACCUCCCAGGUGCCUGUUGGCCGUCUGUCCCCGAGGCGUCCUGACUCAGGGCCAGCUUUCAGCGAGGACAUGGCAGAAGCAGAGUUUGUCCCCCUCGUCCUUUCAGGAGACACCAAGAUUCUCUGCAAAUGGAAGAGCUGACGGUCUCACAGCCGGCAAGGGGAACCUGGAAACGUGACGCUCCAGAAGAGUGUUGGGAAGGAGCAGAAGAAAUCAGCAGCAGAUAUUGCUGGAGCCCCAGACGGCCUGGCACCGAGGUCUGGAGGGAAACCAGGCGUAGCAGCUGGCACAAGAAUGGACAGAGCAGCUUCAUUCAAGAUCGGAGACCGGCCAGGCGCCCACCCAAGGGAGAGUGGAUGAACACACUGUGGCAUUUUGUGCAGUGUAAUGUCACUCAGCAGCAGAAGGGGAAAAAUGACAACGUGGGUGAAGCUCAGCAAGGCUGUGCUGAGUGGAGGAAGCCCCGCCCGGAUGGGCUUCCCUGUGCAAUUCCAUGUCUGCCAAGUCCCACACUGGCAGAUCCCCCCGUGGUGGAAAAGCCCAGAUGAACGGUGGUCACUGUGUGCGUGGGCAGCGACUGAGCAGGAAACGGCAGGAAGCAGGGAGGGCUUCGGGAUGUGGUAACAUAGACCCUGAUGGGGGUUGGGGUUAUACAGGUGCGCGCCUUUGCCCGAACUCAGCAAGUACUGAGCAGCUGUAAACGGAUGUCGGCCAUGAGCUGGCAAUAUGCACACUAAGCUACUGGAUAGAGGAGGGGGCUGGAGUCGUCUGGAGUCUGCUCUGACAUUUGUCAAAAAGCCAAAGUGGACGGAUGGCUGGGUGAGGGAGGAUGGGCAGACAGCUGCCUGACCGGGCAGGGAGGGCCAGUGUCCACGCGGCCUCCGGGUGGUGAGGGCAGGAGCUGCACUGUGAGCUCAUCUCUGCUUUGCUGCGAGUUUGAGACGUUUCUGCUGAAGUGUGGGGGGAAAGUGUCCCAGGUGGGAUAAUAAGUACCUGAUCACCCCCACACAGUGCCCACCGGCUGUCUCCCAGCAAGACCCAGGGAUGCAGCGGGCACUGUGGAUUCAGAUGGGUCAGGAGAGGACCUUCCUGACCAUGGGUUCUCAGCAAACCCGCAGCCUGGGUCUGGCAACCCCCCGCAUCCUGCGGUGUCUCAAAGGUGUACAAACGUGGUGUGGCGUGAGAAAGUAGAAUGCUGGCUGCUGGGGUUGGGGGCUGGAGGUGGGACCCAGUGUUUAACCCGGACAGAGAUUCAGCUCUACAGGAUGAAGAGAAUCUGGAGAUGGCCAAAACUGUGGCACUUUGAGCUCACCGCAACCCCACAAAGUAGAACUGUUCCUGUCGCUGCUCUGCUGAGGAGGAGGGUGAUGCUCAGAGUGGUCCAGUGCCUUGUCUGAGACAUGACCAGGGGAUGUCUCAGAGGCAACUAGAACUUGAACUCUUGCCUCUACUGUAUCUUGGGAGCUGGGUACCACUUGGGACUGCUGACUCUUCGAUUACAAGAGGGAGGAAGGAUAGUUCAAUGUCUCCCCUUAGCAGCAGGUGACAGAAUGCAUUGUGUCCUUGCUGCUCACACAGGAGUAGGUCUCUUCUCCAAGACUACCUGCUCCAUCCUCUGCCUUCUCCUUCACUUGGUUGCCAAGUUUGCAGACAGCAUCAUCUGUACCAGUUUCCUCCUCUCCCCUCCCCUCCCUUCUCUCCUCCCCCCUCCCUUCUCUCGACUCCCCACCCUUCUCUCCCCUCCCCUCCCCUCCCCUCCCCUUCCCGGUCCUACUCAUCCACCUGAAACUCACCAUGUUUCACAUUUUUUUCCCUCCCAAGUGUCCUGAAAGAAUCCAAAGGCUCACUUUUUUUUUUUCCUGAGACAGAGUCUUGCUCUGUUAUCCAGGCUGGAGGGCAGUGGCAUGAUUUUGGCUCACUGCAGCCUCCAUCUCCCGGGUUCAAGGAAGCUCCCAAGAUACA
Non-coding RNA from Callithrix jacchus (white-tufted-ear marmoset), 2106 nucleotides. NCBI's taxonomy places the organism in Eukaryota, Metazoa, Chordata, Mammalia, Primates, Cebidae. The record is from RefSeq and is a predicted model, not a curated record.